This is a long non-coding RNA of Neofelis nebulosa (Clouded leopard), 2757 nucleotides long. RefSeq lists it as uncharacterized. The transcript is spliced from 2 exons. NCBI's taxonomy places the organism in Eukaryota, Metazoa, Chordata, Mammalia, Carnivora, Felidae. The record is from RefSeq and is a predicted model, not a curated record.
CCCCCCCCCCCCCGACGCGGGGCAGCUGGGGCUCCGCGGAGAUUAGAAUCGGCUCUCCGGGGCGCUUCCUUGGGCAGCCGGUCCUGCUCCCACCCCGUGCGGUAAUCAGCAAGCAUUAAAAGGAAAACUAUAAUUCUCCAGGAAUCAGGGUUAGGAUCAAAGAGGGGAGAUGGGGGUAGGGAGGAUGUCCAAACUCCCUACGUCAUUUUAAAAAUGCGAGAGGGAGAGAGAGAUCCUGUUUCCUAGCUCAUCCCUGUCCUCCCAACUGUAAAGUAAAAAUGACAGGGAAAAGAGAAUUUCAAAGUGGAAUUUCCCCACCGAGUAUUGAGAAAGUAAGAAAGAUUUUAAUUAUCUAUUGAAGUGAGGCAGCCAGGAUUCAGGAAGAAAGGAAGAGAAGAGCAGACGACAGACAAGGGCGGUCUGAACUUUGGGGUCCAGACGGAAAUCUUGUGACGAUGGUGGUUUUGAGUGGGUAUUGGAUAUACUGAGUUUUGCUGUUUAAGGAUCCACAGAACCCACACAGGAGGGCUUUGCUGGCCACAGUUCCGGUGACAAGAUUGUUCCUCCUCACAUACACAGCAUUCACUUGUGUUUAAAGCUCAAGCAGACAAUUUCCCAAAAGAACACUAAGGAUACUAACACUUACAGAUUCAAUGAUAUAAAUGUGGACCAUGUUACAUGAGGUGGAGAUUGUGGAGUGAUGGCCGGGCUGAAGGAGAAGUGUUUCCUUAAAGGAAACCCUGCACCUGCCUGUUUGAAAGGUGACCUCUGAUACCCUUUCCAAGCAAAUAAUGCAUCUGGAUGACAAUCAAAGUGUUCCCAGCACACCUCUUUCCACCUCUCUAUUCCUGCUCAGAUUUUGAAUGCUAGAAAAUAAGCCAUAUAAAGGGAGAGUUUUAAUUCCAUACUGGAUUGUUUCCUUUUAGAGAAAUCACUGCAAAGGAGAAAUAACUAAGUCUAGCUUGUCAUCUUUAAAGGGUUUUGGGCUCCAAGCUUCCAGAUUUCUUGAAUGUCAAUAAUAAGCUGGUGUUUUGUACAAAGACAGGAUCUGAGAUCUCAUUUUAUUACACAGCUGGCUGCCAGGGGACCACGGGUGGUGACUCCUAUCCUUUGUGGGCCUCCGUGCACUAAGCUGUAUACAGAGAAUAAAUAAUAUUGCAGAACUUCAUUAGGAGUUCAGAGGGAUUAAGUCAUUAACAGUUUCUAAUUUCUGCAUAUAUUAUAGCCAUCAUUUGUACCUUGAAAACUCAUUUGAGUGAUCUGGAGAAGAGAAGAAUCCUUUUCUAGAUGAACAGGCCUUGGACAUAGCUAGUUUUUCUAGCUAUGUUGGUGACUGCAUUAAGAUUUAUGAUUUCUUACUCAGAGGCGUCCUUCCAGACUGAGUUCUUUGGAACUUCGAACUGUUCCACUUAACCCGAGUGUUACCACCUUCAGUAAUUUUCUUUGUUGUUAGCUCAGGGUAUCAGAGGAAAUCAGAUAGAUCCCAUCUGUUUCCAGCAGGGUCCUUUAACCUCUGUAAAAAUAUGGUAUCAACAUACAUUCCUAGGGGUUUCUGAGUUACGUAGAGUUAUUUUUAAAGCAACAGUGAUGAUCUUGGCCCUUCUGGAGUUAUUUUCUCCCUAAGUUCACUGGCCAUUUCAGUAGAGAUGAUUUCUCGGAUUGUGGGAUACCCCUGUCACCCUGCUAAGUACUAACAGGCUAAGGCUACCUAAUCGUGGUCAUUCCUUGGCUUCUCAAGAACUCGGAGCUCAGGACAAUAUUUGAAACAUGUUGUAGCAAGAGGGCAAUGAAGGCCUUGGGAAAAAAAAAAGAAGAGGAAACAGAUGAGCUUCGUUUAGUUGGAUUAAACUCUGACCUGAAACCUGUCAUUUGCUCUUGCUCUUUCUUAAAAACAAUCCUUAUGUAAUUCUUUCAGUUUCAUCAUUUAUUCACAACCCAUUUGCUUCCCCUGAUCAUUUCAUCAGCCUGGCCUGGCUCCCCUGUCUGGGCUCCCGGGGCUGCUCAGUGGAGAAGAUGCCUGGCCAGGGGUCCACACAGGCCCCUCUUGGUCUCCGGAAGCUUGCAGGGGGGACAGGUUUGCUUGUGUCAACAGCUCAGCAACUGGGACCUCUCCGCACGCCCUGCUGUCACAGAUGGCUCAGGCUGAGGAAGGAGAUUGAGGUAGUUUGGUGUAGUGGGUUCUGGAACCAGUUUGUAUCCUCCCCUAACCAGCUACUUCAUUUAAGAUCCACAUGGGACCGUAUCUGCACUUAACCUCCACGGAAUGGAGUUACACAAUCAGCUGCCGUGUGUGAACUGUGGCAUCCAUGUGGCAUAGGACCAGUGUCACUCACGAAAGCCUGCUGUGUCCAGGAGAACGGAGACACUUUCUCUGUGGCUGCUUUCCUCGCUUUGCGGUUCACCGGGACCCUUUAAUUUCAGUUUGCUGGAGAGCCCAGCUUUCAAACUCACACCACUCUACAGUCAAAUUCGAAGUCUGUGAAAACACGACCAAGAGAACAUUCUUUGGCCUGGAAGGUUUGAGGAUAUCACAGGAAGGCCUCUCAAGCCCUCUUCUGUCAUCUCGAAAGCAGAAGAAGGAACCUGUGAUCCCAAGGCUGGACACAGGGCAUAAAAUUCCUCCUCUUUCCUUCUUGCUCCUUCACCCUCCUCGUACACCUGCCAGUAAGAGGCAACAUGACAGACUAAAGCGUGACAAAAGCAAGCGAUAAGCUAAGCAAUAGAUUUAGCAAAUAAAAAUAUUGCUGGGGGCAUAAA